AGAAGUAGUGGAUUAAAUAUUAUGUGAGUAAGAAUUAUAAAAAAAUUAGGACUUAAUAUCACUAGAUCCUCUCCAUAUGUGAUUAACAUGUCUAAUCAAAGCCAAGACACUCUUUUGAGGCAAAUUAGUGGUUGUAAGAUGACGACAGGGGGUGAAGAGUAUUUCCUCAUAUUCCAUAUUAUAUACAUGUAUUCUAGCAAAAAUUCAUAUCAAUUGCUUCUAGAUAGACCAUGGUUA
Molecule: long non-coding RNA, 237 nt
Filed under: Physcomitrium patens
Lineage: Eukaryota; Viridiplantae; Streptophyta; Bryopsida; Funariales; Funariaceae
Description: long non-coding RNA (PPAT_LNC012132)
Source: RNAcentral